AGCAGCCGCGGUAAUUCCAGCUCCAAUAGCGUAUAUUAAAGUUGUUGCAGUUAAAAAGCUCGUAGUUGAAUUUCGGGAUCAAUAUGUCGGUCGUGCCUUCGGUACGUACUGGUAUCAUUGGUCUCUCCUUUCUGACGAACCAUGAUGUCAUUAAUUUGGUGUUAUGGGGAGUUAGGACUGUUACUUUGAAAAAUUAGAGUGUUUAAAGCAGGCUUUAGCUUGAAUACAUUAGCAUGGAAUAAUGAAAUAGGACGUUCGAACCUAUUUUGUUGGUUUCUAGGAUCAACGUAAUGAUUAAUAGGGAUAGUUGGGGGCAUUAGUAUUCAAUUGUCAGAGGUGAAAUUCUUGGAUUUAUUGAAGACUAACUACUGCGAAAGCAUUUGCCAAGGAUGUUUUCAUUAAUCAAGAACGAAAGUUAGGGGAUCGAAGACGAUCAGAUACCGUCGUAGUCUUAACCAUAAACUAUGCCGACUAGGGAUCGGAUGAUGUUAAUUUUUAAUGUACUC
Molecule: ribosomal RNA, 506 nt
Filed under: uncultured Glomus
Lineage: Eukaryota; Fungi; Glomeromycota; Glomeromycetes; Glomerales; Glomeraceae
Description: SSU rRNA
Rfam family: Eukaryotic small subunit ribosomal RNA
Source: RNAcentral